ACAACAUACUGCACUUAAGCAGGAAUAAUCAGCUGUAGAAAAUGUAAAACCAACUGGCUCAGCUGCAGCUCUGCACCAUUCUGUAACACAUGAAAACAUGCUGCAAGGACAGAAAAUGGCCUACAGUUAUCUUCUGGAUAAAUCAAGAAGCAAUAAGCUUCAGCUACAGCAAACUUACUCAGACUACUGAUGAAAACAUUGCACAGACUAGGACCAGGACUAACCCUAGGGGAUCUCCAUGAGGUCCAUUCUCUCCAUUUGAUCAUGAGCUGCAGAACCUCAUCCACUCUCUGUGUCACUGAGGAAGCAGGAACAAUCUCAGCUACCUCGUUAAGUAUUCCAGGAUUACACAGAGGUACACAUGGAGAUGUGAAAUGAAUGGUAGUUACUUCCUGCCAUGUUCGUUGUCUGGGAUAAAUAAG
Gallus gallus (chicken) is the source of this 422-nucleotide long non-coding RNA. The record is from Ensembl. NCBI's taxonomy places the organism in Eukaryota, Metazoa, Chordata, Aves, Galliformes, Phasianidae.